This is a small nucleolar RNA of Suncus etruscus (white-toothed pygmy shrew), 130 nucleotides long. RefSeq annotates it as small nucleolar RNA SNORA51. NCBI's taxonomy places the organism in Eukaryota, Metazoa, Chordata, Mammalia, Eulipotyphla, Soricidae. The record is from RefSeq and is a predicted model, not a curated record. The transcript has a single exon.
AAGACCUUGGGGUGUGAAAAUGAGAGUGUAUACACUGACUGUAUAGAAAGAAGAUGUACAGUAAAUGCACCCCAUAUACACCUCAACACAGGCCCUUUACCUGGUCUGUAUUGUGAUUUGGGAGACAAAA